Molecule: ribosomal RNA, 460 nt
Filed under: uncultured Bacteroidota bacterium
Lineage: Bacteria; Pseudomonadati; Bacteroidota
Description: bacterial SSU rRNA
Rfam family: Bacterial small subunit ribosomal RNA
Source: RNAcentral
CCUACGGGAGGCUGCAGUGAGGAAUAUUGGUCAAUGGACGCAAGUCUGAACCAGCCAUGUCGCGUGCAGGAUGACUGCCCUACGGGUUGUAAACUGCUUUUUUACGAGAAGAAUUAUAAUUACGUGUAAUUAUUUGACAGUAUCGUAUGAAUAAGGAUCGGCUAACUCCGUGCCAGCAGCCGCGGUAAUACGGAGGAUCCAAGCGUUAUCCGGAUUUAUUGGGUUUAAAGGGUACGUAGGCGGACUUAUAAGUCAGUGGUGAAAUUCUGCAGCUUAACUGUAGCAUUGCCAUUGAUACUGUUUGUCUUGAGUAUAGUUGAGGUAGGCGGAAUGUAGUGUGUAGCGGUGAAAUGCAUAGAUAUACUACGGAACACCGAUUGCGAAGGCAGCUUACUAAACUAUUACUGACGCUGAGGUACGAAAGCGUGGGGAGCAAACAGGAUUAGAUACCCUAGUAGUC